UACAGAGGUCCCAAGCGUUGUUCGGAUUCAUUGGGCGUAAAGGGUGCGUAGGCGGCGCGGUAAGUCGGGUGUGAAAUCUCGGAGCUUAACUUCGAAACUGCAUUCGAUACUGCCGUGCUUGAGGACUGGAGAGGAGACUGGAAUUUACGGUGUAGCGGUGAAAUGCGUAGAUAUCGUAAGGAAGACCGGUGGCGAAGGCGGGUCUCUGGACAGUUCCUGACGCUGAGGCACGAAGGCCAGGGGAGCAAACGGG
RNAcentral lists this ribosomal RNA (253 nucleotides) under uncultured bacterium. RNAcentral describes it as "partial 16S ribosomal RNA". It matches the Rfam family "Bacterial small subunit ribosomal RNA", at positions 524 to 776 of the family's 1533-position model. The record is from RNAcentral.